Molecule: ribosomal RNA, 293 nt
Filed under: uncultured bacterium
Lineage: Bacteria
Description: partial 16S ribosomal RNA
Rfam family: Bacterial small subunit ribosomal RNA
Source: RNAcentral
UGUGCCAGCCGCCGCGGUAAUACGAAGGGGGCUAGCGUUGCUCGGAAUCACUGGGCGUAAAGGGUGCGUAGGCGGGUUUCUAAGUCAGAGGUGAAAGCCUGGAGCUCAACUCCAGAACUGCCUUUGAUACUGGAAGUCUUGAGUAUGGCAGAGGUGAGUGGAACUGCGAGUGUAGAGGUGAAAUUCGUAGAUAUUCGCAAGAACACCAGUGGCGAAGGCGGCUCACUGGGCCAUUACUGACGCUGAGGCACGAAAGCGUGGGGAGCAAACAGGAUUAGAAACCCCUGUAGUCC